RNAcentral lists this non-coding RNA (749 nucleotides) under Pan troglodytes (chimpanzee). The record is from RNAcentral. Lineage: Eukaryota; Metazoa; Chordata; Mammalia; Primates; Hominidae.
UCCCCUCAAACCCUGUCAUUCCCGGGAAGCUCCCAGAGGCAGCUGAGGCCACGCCCCUGCUCCUGAGUGGCAGCAUCCAGACCCGGAAAGGACCUAGUUUCAGCCUGGCACCUCCCAAGAGGAGGACUCGCAGGCUCAGAGAUGUUAAGGAACUUCCUUGGGGGUCACACAGUGAGUCAGCAGCCCAGCCAUGAUUCAAGUCCAGGUCAACCUGACCCUAAAGUCUGUGUUGAGACAUUAUGCCACGGUCCCUCCAGCGCUACUCUCAUUCUACCAAUGCUUACUGAGCCUGACUCCUUGUAAAUGACCAAGGAUACAGUGAUGAGAAAUGCACAGCCCGGCCCUGCAGAGGCUCAGAGUGCGGCGAGGACAAGACGUGAGAACCACGGCGUGCGCUGUGCCUGAGGGAGCUGUGGGGACACUGAGAAGGAGCCCCUCACCCAGAUGGGGGCUGUUCCUAUUUUAUUCCUGCCCACAAGCCACCAGGUGACCCCUGAAAAGCUUUGAGACCAUAGGACCCUGCCUGGAGUGACUUCUGUGUGUCCUCCUGGGGAAAAGGACCAGUCUCUCUCCUAUGAGGGUGGGAGCCUCCACUUUGGUGUGUGACCCCUGAGGGAGAAGUGAACGUGAAGACAUGAAGGAGGCACUGCCUGCAGCCUGAAUUUCUCGGGUGGCCUCAGGCUUAUCCCAGCAAAGAACCCCAUAAACAGGGCAGGGAUGUCGGGCUCCAGAAAUGGGCCUGCCCUGUU